UACAGAGGUGGCAAGCGUUGUUCGGAAUUACUGGGCGUAAAGGGCGCGUAGGCGGUUCGUUAAGUCCUGUGUGAAAUCCCCCGGCUCAACUGGGGAACUGCACAGGAAACUAGCGGGCUUGAGUUCGGGAGAGGGAAGCGGAAUUCCCGGUGUAGCGGUGAAAUGCGCAGAUAUCGGGAGGAACACCGGUGGCGAAGGCGGUUCUCUGGGCCUUACCUGACGCUGAGGCGCGAAAGCUAGGGGAGCAAACGGG
Molecule: ribosomal RNA, 253 nt
Filed under: uncultured bacterium
Lineage: Bacteria
Description: partial 16S ribosomal RNA
Rfam family: Bacterial small subunit ribosomal RNA
Source: RNAcentral